This 219-nucleotide long non-coding RNA is filed under the name Nicotiana benthamiana. Its description in RNAcentral is "long non-coding RNA (NBEN_LNC017607)". Lineage: Eukaryota; Viridiplantae; Streptophyta; Magnoliopsida; Solanales; Solanaceae. The record is from RNAcentral.
AUGAAGUAUCAAUACUACUCUAAUCAAUCAGCAUUUAUAACAUGAAAUGCUGAAUAUAUGAACUAAGCCUAGGAGGAGCUCGAACAUUACAGAUAUAGGCUAUACUACUUAGGAGUUUAUCACAACCACAAUAGAUGUUUUCAAAGAUUCUCGCAUUCCUUUCUAACCAUAGACUAUAUAGCAUUUCUGUAAUUGUCAUCUUGAAUGUGUGGCUCGGAG